RNAcentral lists this microRNA (20 nucleotides) under Medicago truncatula (barrel medic). RNAcentral's name for it is "mtr-miR2680e". Lineage: Eukaryota; Viridiplantae; Streptophyta; Magnoliopsida; Fabales; Fabaceae. The record is from miRBase by way of RNAcentral.
UCCUCGGUACCUAUGUUGAU